UACGGAGGGUGCAAGCGUUAAUCGGAAUUAUUGGGCGUAAAGGGCGCGUAGGCGGGUGAAUAAGUCAGAUGUGAAAUUCCAAAGCUCAACUUUGGAGCUGCAUUUGAAACUAUAAUUCUAGAGGAUUGAAGGGGAAAACGGAAUUCCACGUGUAGCGGUGAAAUGCGUAGAUAUGUGGAAGAACACCUGUGGCGAAAGCGGUUUUCUAGUUAAUACCUGACGCUGAGGCGCGAGAGCAAGGGGAGCAAACAGG
This 253-nucleotide ribosomal RNA is filed under the name uncultured bacterium. RNAcentral's name for it is "partial 16S ribosomal RNA". It matches the Rfam family "Bacterial small subunit ribosomal RNA", at positions 524 to 776 of the family's 1533-position model. The record is from RNAcentral.